AGCAGCCGCGGUAAUUCCAGCUCCAAUAGCGUAUAUUAAAGUUGUUGCAGUUAAAAAGCUCGUAGUUGAAUUUCGGGAUUGACGUGAUGGUCGUACCUUAAGGGGUAUGAACUGUCGCUGUUGAUUUCUCACCUUCUGGAGAAACUUGAUGUCCUUAAUUGGGUGUCUUGCGGAUCCAGGACCUUUACCUUGAAAAAAUUAGAGUGUUUAAAGCAGGCAUUUUUGCUCGAAUACAUUAGCAUGGAAUAAUAGAAUAGGACGGCAUGGUUCUAUUUUUGUUGGUUUCUA
This 288-nucleotide ribosomal RNA is filed under the name uncultured Acaulospora. RNAcentral's name for it is "partial 18S ribosomal RNA". It matches the Rfam family "Eukaryotic small subunit ribosomal RNA", at positions 569 to 854 of the family's 1831-position model. The record is from RNAcentral. Lineage: Eukaryota; Fungi; Glomeromycota; Glomeromycetes; Diversisporales; Acaulosporaceae.